Long non-coding RNA from Myiozetetes cayanensis, 323 nucleotides. RefSeq lists it as uncharacterized. The transcript is spliced from 2 exons. NCBI's taxonomy places the organism in Eukaryota, Metazoa, Chordata, Aves, Passeriformes, Tyrannidae. The record is from RefSeq and is a predicted model, not a curated record.
UUUGGGGACCCACAUUCCCUGGUGACCGACCUUGGGAACAGCCUUUUUGGGGACCCACAUUCCCAGUGACCCUCCUUGGAACAGCCUUUUUGGGGACCGACAUUCUUGGUGACCCCUGUUUGGGAACAGCCUUUUGGAGACCCACAUUCCCUGGUGACCCUCCUUGGGAACAGCCUUUUGGGGACCCACAUUCCCCGUGACCCCUGUUUGGGGUUUAUUGCCGUGCCGCGAAUGGUUCUGUUUGAGAUGGUUUUGUUUUUUUUCUUCCUUCCGAUCGUUCGUAAAUCGCUCGUUUUAGAUAAAUGUUCUGGUUUUGGCCGUGA